Non-coding RNA from Pelobates cultripes (western spadefoot toad), 788 nucleotides. The record is from the annotation of a GenBank genome assembly. Lineage: Eukaryota; Metazoa; Chordata; Amphibia; Anura; Pelobatidae.
CGGAAUUACACUAUAUAUAAGCUGGCCGAAUGUUGUAUAACAUUCGGCCAGCUUUGAACAAUCUGGAGUGUUUUCAAGAUUUAUUAUGUUCAUAUGCCAUAUCAAUUUCGGUGUGACACAGUGUUCUUUUGGUAUCACCAUUAAAAUGUCAUAGUUAGAUUAGUCACAUCUUCCUAUCUUGCAAAAAGGGUUCUGCUUAGUAGACGUUGGUUUCAAAAGAAUUGUGACUUGUGUGAAAUUUAGGAAUUCAGUGAUUCAUUAGAUAAAAAAAAAAAAUCGAACUCCGAAACGCUAUAUGAAUGAAUCAUGAAACAAAUAAAUGGACAGUAGAUGAACUGUUUUUCUUGUUUGACUAGUGAUUCAGAGUUCUGACCAUGGCACACAAAAAAAGAAUGAUUGAUGGUAAUUGAUUUAACUUGGGGACCAGCCAUUAAAUGUACAUUUUUUCCACAGAGAAAUGAUUAACAGAGUGGAAAAAAAGGGAGCAGUAAAAAAAUGCAGCACCUCGCACUCAUAAAAAUAUAAAUAUUGGACCUGGAGAUGAAUUUUUGUCUGAACUACAAUUUCAGUAGAUAGGGUGUUCAGCCGAAUGUUCGAAUUCCGAGCCGAAAUAUGCCUGAAUACCGAAUCAACCAAUUAGCACAUUUGGAAAGUGGUUUGGUUGAUUUGAAGUCUGAAAUUCCAUUCGCUAUGCCUACUGCUAGUAGCAACUGCCACUUACACCAACUCUGAAUAACUAAUUUGCAUUUUUUUUUAAAUUUUUUUAAUUUUUUUUUAGCUCUGUACAA